Molecule: long non-coding RNA, 417 nt
Organism: Lates calcarifer (barramundi perch)
Lineage: Eukaryota; Metazoa; Chordata; Actinopteri; Centropomidae
Exons: 2
Source: RefSeq, a predicted model, not a curated record
AUCUGGGCUCAGAGAGUGAACGCCAUCUUUACUGGGAAGAGGGCCACUGCAGGGCGACCUCAGAGCCGCAGGAGACGCUCUGCUGCACAAGGCUUAAGCUGUCUCAGUGUGGUAAAUCCUCAUCAUGUAGAAGAUCACGGGUGGAGCUGGUCGCGGUGAUGAAGCGGGACCUGCAGUAUCUCCACCUGAAGUUCCCGAGGAUGAUCAUCUUCUCUUCCAUCGUACACAUGUACACAGGCAGUUAAAUAAAUCGAAUAAAAAAGUAUAUUUGAUACCGUUAAACCCACAAUAAAGCUGCUGUAACUACAGUAUUCAUAUGUUAUAGGAACAUGCUCAUUAGCUUGGCUAUUACAAAUUACAUGUGUUUCAUGUCCAGUUUGUCAGUAAACUGUCACAAAUAAAGGAGUUUCACCUUCA